GGUUAAGCGACUAAGCGUACACGGUGGAUGCCCUGGCAGUCAGAGGCGAUGAAGGGCGUGCUAAUCUGCGAUAAGCGCCGGUAAGGUGAUAUGAACCGUUAUAACCGGCGAUACCCGAAUGGGGAAACCCAGUGUGACUCGUCACACUAUCAUUAACUGAAUCCAUAGGUUAAUGAGGCGAACCGGGGGAACUGAAACAUCUAAGUACCCCGAGGAA
RNAcentral lists this ribosomal RNA (217 nucleotides) under Salmonella enterica. RNAcentral describes it as "partial 23S ribosomal RNA". It matches the Rfam family "Bacterial large subunit ribosomal RNA", at positions 1 to 218 of the family's 2925-position model. The record is from RNAcentral. Lineage: Bacteria; Pseudomonadati; Pseudomonadota; Gammaproteobacteria; Enterobacterales; Enterobacteriaceae. RNAcentral also lists the same sequence under 5 other names.